UGGGGAAUAUUGCACAAUGGAGGGAACUCUGAUGCAGCGACGCCGCGUGAACGAAGAAGGCUUUCGAGUCGUAAAGUUCUUUUAUAUGGGAAGAUAAUGACGGUACUAUAAGAAAAAGACCCGGCUAACUACGUGCCAUCAGCCGCGGCAAUACGUAGGGGGCUAGCGUUGUCCGGAAUCACUGGGCGUAAAGGGUUCGCAGGCGGAAAUGCAAGUCAGGUGUAAAAGGCAGUAGCUUAACUACUGUAAGCAUUUGAAACUGCAUAUCUUGAGAAGAGUAGGGGUAAGUGGAAUUUUUAGUGUAGCGGUGAAAUGCGUAGAUAUUAAAAAGAAUACCGGUGGCGAAGGCGACUUACUGGGCUCAUUCUGACGCUGAGGAACGAAAGCGUGGGUAGCAAACGGG
This 403-nucleotide ribosomal RNA is filed under the name Fusobacteriota bacterium. RNAcentral describes it as "Fusobacteria bacterium partial 16S ribosomal RNA". It matches the Rfam family "Bacterial small subunit ribosomal RNA", at positions 355 to 776 of the family's 1533-position model. Lineage: Bacteria; Fusobacteriati; Fusobacteriota. The record is from RNAcentral.